UACGGGGGGGGCAAGCGUUGUUCGGAAUUACUGGGCGUAAAGGGCUCGUAGGCGGCCAACUAAGUCAGACGUGAAAUCCCUCGGCUUAACCGGGGAACUGCAUCUGAUACUGGAUGGCUUGAGUUCGGGAGAGGGAUGCGGAAUUCCAGGUGUAGCGGUGAAAUGCGUAGAUAUCAAGAGGAACACCUGAGGUGAAGACGGGUUGCUGGGCUGACACUGACGCUGAUGCGCGAAAGCCAGGGGAGCAAACGGG
Molecule: ribosomal RNA, 253 nt
Filed under: uncultured bacterium
Lineage: Bacteria
Description: partial 16S ribosomal RNA
Rfam family: Bacterial small subunit ribosomal RNA
Source: RNAcentral